This 231-nucleotide long non-coding RNA is filed under the name Elaeis guineensis (African oil palm). RNAcentral describes it as "long non-coding RNA (EGUI_LNC028390)". The record is from RNAcentral. Lineage: Eukaryota; Viridiplantae; Streptophyta; Magnoliopsida; Arecales; Arecaceae.
AGGAAUAUUGUUGCAACUGUACUUAAUUCUGAUGGUUGGAAUGAUGGUGGUGGAGGAAGGAAUGCAUGAAUAUAAGGCUCAAAGUUUGAGCCAACUUAUCCAUUAUGGAUAAUGAUCCAGAUAUAAAUAAAUCAAUUGAAUUUAAUUUUUUGAUAAAGAUAAAAUGGAUGACAUUACUUGAUUAUUAUUGUAUUUCAUUCUUUUACUACCUUUUUUAUACUUCUUAUACCC